Molecule: ribosomal RNA, 253 nt
Filed under: uncultured bacterium
Lineage: Bacteria
Description: partial 16S ribosomal RNA
Rfam family: Bacterial small subunit ribosomal RNA
Source: RNAcentral
UACGGAGGGUGCAAGCGUUAUCCGGAUUCACUGGGUUUAAAGGGCGCGUAGGUGGAUUGGUAAGCCAGUGGUGAAAUCUCUGGGCUUAACUCAGAAACUGCCAUUGAUACUAUCAGUCUUGAAUACCGUGGAGGUCAGCGGAAUAUGUCAUGUAGCGGUGAAAUGCUUAGAUAUGACAUAGAACACCAAUUGCGAAGGCAGCUGGCUACACGAAUAUUGACACUGAGGCACGAAAGCGUGGGGAUCAAACAGG